Molecule: long non-coding RNA, 836 nt
Organism: Alexandromys fortis (reed vole)
Lineage: Eukaryota; Metazoa; Chordata; Mammalia; Rodentia; Cricetidae
Exons: 3
Source: RefSeq, a predicted model, not a curated record
AAAUGUUCAGUCUGCCUGGAAGAAACUGGGAAGCAGAUGCUGAGCCCUGGGAGGCCCUCCACCUGUAAAACCCACCGAAGGCAAGAAAAAAAAGGAGCCAAUCUAGAUGAAGAGAGUACGUAGGGCUGACUGAUCUGCCCAUGAAAUGAUGCUUGUGAGAAAGUGACAUACCAUCACGCUUAUUAAGCCAAUUAAGAAGACAGCAGGAUGUACAACAGCUGGAUCAGGAACACAGGCCCAGUCAGUCUCACUCCGGCUUUUCUGGAUUAUCGGCGGCAGCAUCAGGAUCGCAUAUCUCUGCUCUGUAUCAUCCGAGCUUCAAUUCCAUCCUGUGAAUAAACACAAGCAUGCCCUCUCCCCAUACCAAAACACUGUUGGAGCCCUUUCAUAAACACGUAAAUGGAUCUUUCCAUUAGACUUGAGCAAACCAUGAGGUGGUGCUUUCGUGCCAAAAUCUACUCAUGGAAGAUUGCUCACAGACAUCCACAUUUAAAAUUUUUAAAUUUUAAGAUAAAAACACAUAUAUGUGGUGACCGUGGGUAUAAGCCCAACUCCCCCAUUUUUAAUUGUAUUUUUAAUUGAGCCUUAAGACUCCCAUGUGCCCUUUCAAAAUUCCUUGCCCUUGGGACAUCAUCUCAAAUCCUAGAGAUGAGUUUGUUCCAGAGGCUGAUACUGGGAUUUUAGCAUCAUUAGUUUAAUGGCAACAAGACAGGAAUGAUCAAGAUGACCGAGUUCCCUAUGAUUGCUAACAGAGAAGUUCCCCUUUGAUCUAACAUUCCAGGGGGGAACAGGAACGACGUAUUCGCUUCUGUAAUUACCCACUGCUGACCUUAGAA